This 237-nucleotide long non-coding RNA is filed under the name Mustela putorius furo (domestic ferret). RNAcentral's name for it is "lncRNA (ENSMPUG00000028286.1)". The record is from RNAcentral. Lineage: Eukaryota; Metazoa; Chordata; Mammalia; Carnivora; Mustelidae.
AUGGGAGCGAGCACGUCUGGCCCUGCUGGGAGCGAGCACGUCUGGCCAUGGUGGGGGCGAGUACGUACGCCGUGGAAACUGACAAGCUCUUCGCUUGAGGACUUGAACCGAUUUGAAUUGUUGAGAGCUGGUUUACCAGCAAGCCACUGGUUUCGGGAGACUAUAGAGCUUCAAGACACUGAAGACCUUCUCGCAUCUCCACAGAAGGCCCUUGUGCAUGGUCGGUGGUUCAGCUGA